UCAUGGUAAAGGUGCCAUUUGGAUGAAUGAUGUAAAUUGCUCUGGUUCAGAAAGCAAAUUACUGGAUUGUAAUUUCAAUAAUGUAACAUUUCAAUGUGAGCACUACUGGCAUGAUGUUGGUGUCCAUUGUUUUCUCAGCUGUUCAACAUAAGAUGAAGGUCGUUUGCGUAUUGCUGGAGGUUACGCUCUGCAGCAAGGACGACUGGAAAUUAAUUAUAAAGGUGAAUGGGGAACAGUUUGUGAUAAUCACUUUGAGGACAUUGAUGCAGAAGUAGCAUGUAGACAGCUCGGAUAUUGUUCUGGAAUCAUGCAACCCAGAUCGCUAAUACGGGAUGGUGUCGGGCCGAUAUGGUUGAAUGAUGUGAAAUGCUCUGGCUCUGAAAGUAAAUUACUGAAUUGUAACUUCAAUACAGACACAUCCAAAUGUCGUCAUUAUCAUGAUGUUGGCAUCAAUUGCUUUCUCAACUGUUCAACAGAAGAUGCAGGUGUCACACCGAAUGAGAACAUACGAAGUCCAACUAAUGGUAUUGAUGUUGUUGUUUUUGUUAUAGUUGGUGUUGUUGUUGUUAUAAUUGUUGCUGUUGUCGUGAUACUUAUCGUCUUGGGUCGACGUCGAUACUGUCCUUCAAGACCGGGAAGAUACUUUGAAGAACCUGAACAUCGAGAAAUGCCUGUGUUUAACAUAGAUCAGGAACAUGAAUAUGCCUAUAUAGAUCAGGAUGCUUUAAAUACAAUAAAUAUGAUUAAUACACGUUCAGAUUAAUUGGAGCUAAAUGCUUCUACGGGAGAACCAACAUAUGUUAUCAGCGAUCCUCCGCUUGAUACAUGUACAUGAUCAAAACAGUUUGCAAUC
Molecule: long non-coding RNA, 853 nt
Organism: Mytilus trossulus (common blue mussel)
Lineage: Eukaryota; Metazoa; Mollusca; Bivalvia; Mytilida; Mytilidae
Exons: 4
Source: RefSeq, a predicted model, not a curated record